RNAcentral lists this ribosomal RNA (919 nucleotides) under uncultured organism. Its description in RNAcentral is "bacterial SSU rRNA". It matches the Rfam family "Bacterial small subunit ribosomal RNA", at positions 13 to 940 of the family's 1533-position model. The record is from RNAcentral.
UUGAUCCUGGCUCAGGAUGAACGCUAGCGGCGCGCUUAACGCAUGCAAGUCGAGCGAUGAGGCUCCCUUCGGGGAGUACAUCAGCGGCAGACGGGUGAGUAACACGUAGAUAACCUGCCCUCAAGACGGGGACAACCGGUGGAAACAGCGGCUAAUACCCGAUAUGCUCACAGGAUCGGGAGGUCGAGUGAGGAAAGCGCCCCUUCGGGGGAGAGUGUUUGAGGAGGGAUCUGCGGCCCAUCAGCUAGUUGGUGAGGUAACGGCUCACCAAGGCGAAGACGGGUAGGGGGUGUGAGAGCAUGGCCCCCCACAAUGGGACUGAGACACGGCCCAUACUCCUACGGGAGGCAGCAGCGGGGAAUAUUGCGCAAUGGACGGAAGUCAGACGCAGCGACGCCGCGUGGGUGAGGAAGGCCUUCGGGUUGUAAAGCCCUUUUCAGGGGAGCGAGAAAGGACGGUACCCUUGGAAUAAGCGUCGGCUAACUACGUGCCAGCAGCCGCGGUAAGACGUAGGACGCAAGCGUUAUCCGGAUUUACUGGGCGUAAAGCGCCUGUAGGCGGUCAAGUAAGUCGGAUGUGAAAGCCCCGUGCUCAACGCGGGGAAGCCAUUCGAUACUGCGUGACUAGAGAACGGCAGAGGGAAACGGAAUUUCUGGUGUAGCGGUAAAAUGCGCAGAGAUCAGAAAGAACACCGAUGGCGAAGGCAGUCUCCUAGGCCGCAUCUGACGCUGAGAGGCGAAAGCUAGGGGAGCAAACAGGAUUAGAGACCCUGGUAGUCCUAGCUGUAAACGAUGGAUGCUAGGUGUGGGCCGGAAAGGUCCGUGCCGUAGUUAACGCGAUAAGCAUCCCGCCUGGGGAGUACGGGCGCAAGGCUAAAACUCAAACGAAUUGACGGGGACCCGGACAAGCAGCGGAGCGU